This 73-nucleotide transfer RNA is filed under the name Canis lupus familiaris (dog). It matches the Rfam family "tRNA". Rfam says of the family: Transfer RNA (tRNA) molecules are approximately 80 nucleotides in length. Their secondary structure includes four short double-helical elements and three loops (D, anti-codon, and T loops). Lineage: Eukaryota; Metazoa; Chordata; Mammalia; Carnivora; Canidae. RNAcentral also lists the same sequence under 2 other names. The record is from Rfam by way of RNAcentral.
GCCUGGCUGGCUCAGUCAGAAGAGCAUAUGACUUCUGAUUUCAGGGUCAUGAGUUUGAGCCUCAUGUUGGGUA